Molecule: long non-coding RNA, 615 nt
Organism: Chroicocephalus ridibundus (black-headed gull)
Lineage: Eukaryota; Metazoa; Chordata; Aves; Charadriiformes; Laridae
Exons: 3
Source: RefSeq, a predicted model, not a curated record
GAAACUGGCACGGUGCUAGAGGCUCGCACUGUGUUCUGCCACCCGCCUUUGCCUUCCCACACUCUGUCCCCUCAACGGUUUCACAGUUGCCUCGCUCAGCUCUGAACUGCGCCGCAGGAUUCAUUUCCUGAUUAAAAAAACCGUCUUUCUCCUGCUUUCUCUCUCCCGCAGCUUACAGAUGAUAACCUAACAGUUUGUGAAACAUAACUUGGCUUGCCCUCUAAUGACAUUUUCAUCAUGAGAUUCAUUUGUUCGUUUUGCAUGUGCAAGAUUGUACAAACCUAGAAGAACAAAAAUCAAGGUUGAAGUAGGAAAAGGCGUUGAAAAAUCACGGCAGAUGGAACGUGGCUUCAUUUCCUGGGUAAAAAUGACCCCUGGAUCCUGGAAAUCUCCAGCAUCAACCCUGCACCACUUCGUAUGAGCAUCUGUUACUAUUAGCAAGAAAGUACCAUGGCACUAGAAAAAAUAAACAGUGCGCUUGUUUAAUUAAGGUUAAGAUACACGCGCUCCUGUUACAUCUUUGUUUUGUUGUGUGGGUAUACUUUGUUUGUGAGAACUUAAACAAUGAGAUACUCUGCUAAGUGUGAGAGUUACGCUGUUCAUUCCAAAGCUGUC